RNAcentral lists this ribosomal RNA (467 nucleotides) under uncultured bacterium. Its description in RNAcentral is "partial 16S ribosomal RNA". It matches the Rfam family "Bacterial small subunit ribosomal RNA", at positions 28 to 507 of the family's 1533-position model. The record is from RNAcentral.
GACGAACGCUGGCGGCGUGCUUAACACAUGCAAGUCGAACGGAAAGGCCCUGCUUUUGUGGGGUGCUCGAGCGGCGAACGGGUGAGUAACACGUGAGUAACCUGCCCUUGACUUGGGAUAACUUCAGGAAACUGGGGCUAAUACCGGAUAGGAGCUCCUGCUGCAUGGUGGGGGUUGGAAAGUUUCGGCGGUUGGGGAUGGACUCGCGGCUUAUCAGCUUGUUGGUGGGGUAGUGGCUUACCAAGGCUUUGACGGGUAGCCGGCCUGAGAGGGUGACCGGCCACAUUGGGACUGAGAUACGGCCCAGACUCCUACGGGAGGCAGCAGUGGGGAAUAUUGCACAAUGGGCGGAAGCCUGAUGCAGCAACGCCGCGUGCGGGAUGACGGCCUUCGGGUUGUAAACCGCUUUCGCCUGUGACGAAGCGUGAGUGACGGUAAUGGGUAAAGAAGCACCGGCUAACUACGUG